Molecule: ribosomal RNA, 504 nt
Filed under: uncultured bacterium
Lineage: Bacteria
Description: partial 16S ribosomal RNA
Rfam family: Bacterial small subunit ribosomal RNA
Source: RNAcentral
ACGAACGCUGGCGGCGUGCCUAAUACAUGCCCGUAGAACGCACAGUUUAUACCGUAGCUUGCUACACCAUAGCCUGUGAGUUGCGAACGGGUGAGUAACGCGUAGGUAACCUGCCUGGUAGCGGGGGAUAACUAUUGGAAACGAUAGCUAAUACCGCAUAAUAUUGAUUAUUGCAUGAUAAUUGAUUGAAAGAUGCUAUUGCAUCACUACCAGAUGGACCUGCGUUGUAUUAGCUAGUAGGUGAGGUAACGGCUCACCUAGGCGACGAUACAUAGCCGACCUGAGAGGGUGAUCGGCCACACUGGGACUGAGACACGGCCCAGACUCCUACGGGAGGCAGCAGUAGGGAAUCUUCGGCAAUGGACGAAAGUCUGACCGAGCAACGCCGCGUGAGUGAAGAAGGUUUUCGGAUCGUAAAGCUCUGUUGUAAGAGAAGAACGGGUGUGAGAGUGGAAAGUUCACACUGUGACGGUAUCUUACCAGAAAGGGACGGCUAACUACGUG